Molecule: transfer RNA, 66 nt
Filed under: Hydroporus puberulus
Lineage: Eukaryota; Metazoa; Arthropoda; Insecta; Coleoptera; Dytiscidae
Description: tRNA-Ala
Source: RNAcentral
AGGAAUAUAGUUAAUUAUAACAUUUAGUUUGCAUCUAAAAAGUAUUGAAUUAUUCAAUUUUUCUUA